UACUAAUGAUACUCUAUGAAUAU
Molecule: small nuclear RNA, 23 nt
Filed under: Arabidopsis thaliana (thale cress)
Lineage: Eukaryota; Viridiplantae; Streptophyta; Magnoliopsida; Brassicales; Brassicaceae
Description: snRNA_16140
Source: RNAcentral